RNAcentral lists this long non-coding RNA (1268 nucleotides) under Phasianus colchicus (ring-necked pheasant). RNAcentral's name for it is "lncRNA (ENSPCLG00000019810.1)". The record is from RNAcentral. Lineage: Eukaryota; Metazoa; Chordata; Aves; Galliformes; Phasianidae.
NNNNNNNNNNNNNNNNNCACUUUGUGCCCCUUGGGUGCCAUUUUGGGGCCAUUUGGGGUCACUUUGUUCCCCUUUGGUGCCAUUUUGGGGCCAUUUUGGGUCACUUUGUGCCCCUUGGGUGCCAUUUUGGUGCCAUUUGGGGUCACUUUUGGGCCAUUUUGGGUCAACUUGGGGCCAUUUGGGGUCACUUUGUUCCCCUUUGGUGUCAUUUUGGGGCCAUUUGGGGUCACUUUGUUCCUCUUUGGUGCCAUUUUGGGGCCAUUUGGGGCCAUUUUGUGCCCCUUUGGUGCCAUUUUGGGGCCAUUUUGGUGCCUUUUGAUCCCCUUGGGUGCCAUUUUGGGGCCAUUUUGGGUCAUUUGGGGUCCAUUUGGGUCAAUUUUGUGUCAAUAUUGGGUCAUUUUGGGUCAACUUGGGGCCAUUUUGGGUCAUUUUGGGUCAACUUGGGGCCAUUUGGGGUCACUUUGUGCCCCUUGGGUGCCAUUUUGGGGCCAUUUGGGGUCACUUUGUGCCCCUUGGGUGCCAUUUUGGGGCCAUUUUUGUACCUUUUGAUCCCCUUUGGUGUCAUUUUGGGGCCAUUUGGGGUCACUUUGUGCCCCUUGCGUGCCAUUUUGGGGCCAUUUUGGGUCACUUUGUUCCCCUUGGGUGCCAUUUUGGGGUCAUUUUGGGUCACUUUGUGCCCCUUGCGUGCCAUUUUGGGGCCAUUUUGGGUCAAUUUUGGGCCAUUUUCGGUCAAGUUGGGGCCAUUUUGGUGCCUUUUGAUCACCUUGGGUGCCAUUUUGGGGCCAUUUGGGGUCACUUUGUGCCCCUUGGGUGCCAUUUUGGGGCCAUUUCCCCCAUUUCUGCCCCCUUUCCCCCCCAGGAUCGGAGGAGCGCCGCGCCGCAGAGCUGCACAUCCACCCCCAGUACGAUUUGGGGGGGAGAAGCCAGAGGGGGGUCCCCGAAUUCUACGACUACGACGUCGCUUUGGUGCAGCUCCAGGAGCCCCUGGACUUCACUGAUAGCAUCAGGUCACUGCUAUUAUGGGAUGGAGUCCCUGUGGGGUCCCUAUGGGUCCUUAUGGGGUCUCUGUGGGUCUCUAUGGGCCCUUAAGGGGUCUCUGUGGGGUCCCUAUGGGUCUCUAUGUGUCCCUAUGGGGUCUCUAUGGGUCCUUAUGGGAUCCCCAUGGGUCCCUAUGGGUCUCUAUGGGGUCUCUUUGGGGUCUCUAUGGGGUCCCUAUGGGUCCCUAUGGGGUCCCAAUGGAUCCCUAUGGGUCCUUAUGGGGUCUCUGU